GCGGCAAUAACUCAAUUGGUAGAGCGCAACCCCUCCAAGGUUGAAGUUGCGAGUUCGAGUCUCGUUUGCCGCUCCA
RNAcentral lists this transfer RNA (76 nucleotides) under Bacteroidaceae bacterium. Its description in RNAcentral is "tRNA-Gly". It matches the Rfam family "tRNA". From Rfam's summary of the family: Transfer RNA (tRNA) molecules are approximately 80 nucleotides in length. The record is from RNAcentral. RNAcentral also lists the same sequence under 1 other name. Lineage: Bacteria; Pseudomonadati; Bacteroidota; Bacteroidia; Bacteroidales; Bacteroidaceae.